GCGUGGGAGACGGCUUGGUUGUAACCUUGGGAGAGACGUCCCGAAAAGCGCCGGUAACUCUGCCACGCCCGUACAGGCGCAGCUUACCGGAAUUAUUGGGCGUAUCGUAGGGUCGCGUCGGUGAAACCCCAGCUACCUGGCUGCACGGAGCUGAGUGCGGGGAUUGGAAUCCGUGUACGGUGAAUGCGCAAUAUGGAGAACACCGUGCAAGGCCUGCGGUGGGGAGCAAACAGGCUUAGAUACCCUGGUAGUCCACCCCGUAACGUUGAACUAGUGUGUGCCAUAACGCAUUAAGUCGCCUGGGGUCGGCCGCAAGGCAAAAAGGAUGACGGGCGCAAGCGGCGGAUGGGAUAAUUCAACAGAACUCGCUGACGUACGGUGAUGC
This 385-nucleotide ribosomal RNA is filed under the name uncultured bacterium. RNAcentral describes it as "partial 16S ribosomal RNA". The record is from RNAcentral.